This is a long non-coding RNA of Phyllostomus discolor (pale spear-nosed bat), 226 nucleotides long. RefSeq lists it as uncharacterized. NCBI's taxonomy places the organism in Eukaryota, Metazoa, Chordata, Mammalia, Chiroptera, Phyllostomidae. The transcript is spliced from 3 exons. The record is from RefSeq and is a predicted model, not a curated record.
AUCACGUCUUUGUGUGGAGGUUUCUGACAAAAUAUCAAAUCACCCAGGUGACUCAGCCCCUGUACAGCUCAUAUUUGGCACACUGAAACUUCUGGCUCUUCCACAAAGUAAAAUCGCCUUUGAAAGGGAAGAGAUUUCAGACCAUCAGUGAGAUACAGGAAAAUAUGAUGGGGCCAGCUGAUGGUGAUAGUGAGAACUGUGUGAGUUCCCAAAGCACCUACUUUGA